This 752-nucleotide long non-coding RNA is filed under the name Capsicum annuum. Its description in RNAcentral is "long non-coding RNA (CANN_LNC003897)". The record is from RNAcentral. Lineage: Eukaryota; Viridiplantae; Streptophyta; Magnoliopsida; Solanales; Solanaceae.
CCGUGUCCAGCGCGAACCUGAUGGCUCUGUCUUUCCAAUAUCAAAAUCUAAUGCCUUCCACCUGUAUAACUAUGAUAAAUUGAAUUGAUUUGGUAUAAACAUUCGAUGCAAGUAAGUAAAUAUUUGUCGAUAAGAAACUAACAAGAGUUCUUCAAGGGUAACGGUAGAAUUUGGCAUUGGAGAUUGCAUGAUUUUUGUAGGAAUAAGUAGAGCUUCUACUGAAUUGGGCUUCUGAUUUGCUUCCAUUUUCCUUUUACUUCACUACAAUAGUCUCUUCAACCUGAUAAUAAGUUGGAGUCAGACUACAUGAAUCCUCAAAAAUAUAAAACUCAAAUUGGCUCUUCCAGUUCUGAUUAAACUAAAUAAAUUAUCUCUCUGACAAAUUAGUGGUAGCAUUUUACCUGAUACAAAUGGUUAGUACUCGUCAAAUUUCCAUUCUACUUGUAAAAUUUAUCCUUUAACAAUUAGAACUAGAAAAAUAAGAAUUUACGGCAGACAAAUUUUGUAGCUAAAUAGCAAAAUUUGUUGCUAACUCUAUUUAGCAAUGAAUUAGCGAUAGACCAUUCAAAAACUAUGUUCGUAUGAGCGAUUUGGCGACGAAUAUCAUGGCUAAUUUCUGGUGUUUUUUUUUUUUUAUGUGUGUGUGUGUGUGUGUGUGAUUGUAUCUAAAAUUAAGAAGUGUACAUGAAAAUUGAGAAAUGAAGUGAAAGCAACAUGUCCACCUGAAAGUAUUCUAUUGGAAAUUAAAGAAG